Molecule: ribosomal RNA, 857 nt
Filed under: uncultured bacterium
Lineage: Bacteria
Description: bacterial SSU rRNA
Rfam family: Bacterial small subunit ribosomal RNA
Source: RNAcentral
AUAAGAAAACUGUUUAGCUAGAAGAGUAAAGGGGUGGCUAGAACUCUACAAGUAGCGGUGAAAUGCGUUGAUAUGUAGGGGAAUACCAAAAGCGUAGGCAGGCCACUAGGUACUUCUUGACACUGCAUGAACGAAAGCGUGGGUAGCGAAUGGGAUUAGAUACCCCAGUAGUCCACGCCCUAAACGAUGAGUGCUUGCUUUUAGGAGGAGUCAAUCCCUCUUGGAGGCAAAAGCUAACGCUAUAAGCACUCCGCCUGCAGAGUACGGUCGCAAGACUAAAACGUAAAGGAAUUGACGGGAACCCGCACAAGCGGUGGAUCGUGCGGUUUAAUUCGACUCUAAACGAGAAACCUCACCAAGGUUUGACAUGUAACUGCAAACUCUAUGAAAGUAGAGCUUCUUCGAGAGUGUUACACAGAUGAUGCACGGUCGUCGUCAGCUCGUGUCGUGAGAUGUUCGGUUAAGUCCGAAAACGAGCGCAACCCUUAUCUUUAGUUAUUUAAUGUCUAAAGAGACUGCCUGGGUUUAACCAGGAGGAAGGCAGGGAUGACGUCAGAUCAGCGUGUCUCUUACACCUUGGGCUACACGCACGAUACAAUGGGCAUGGUACAACGGGACGCCAAGCGGUAACGCGGAGCAAAUCCUAUAAAACCACCCCAAGUACGGAUUGAGGUCUGAAACUCGACCUCAUGAAGCUGGAAUCGCUAGUAAUCGCAAAUCAUCAUGUUGCGGUGAAUACGUUCUCGGGUUUUGUACACACUGCCCGUCAUGGCCUGGAAAUUGAAAGAGCCCCAAAGCAUCGAUUACGGUGUGGAAGGCUAAGUCAAGAACUGGGUUAAAGUCGUAACAAGGUAACC